CUAAAAAACCAUUUAUAUAGUUUUCCUCUGUUUUUGGCAAUCAAAUAUACAGCUAUCAAAAACAAAAACCAAAAAGAUAAAUCAUUACCAGAGGUGACAAAAACCAAAUCAUCUUAUUAUUCUGGAAAAGAUUAGGAUAUAACUCAUUGAGUUACUGUAGUAUUAGGUUACCCAUCUGCUGCCUCUCUUUCUCAAGUAUUUUCAUGUUAAGGACGAGACCCUGAAGAUUCCCCCUUAUCCUACAGAUAAAAGGAAACGUAAGAAUAUCUUUAAAGUAACAUAAGUACAUAGAGAUCUGAUACAAAAUGCUAUGAAAACAAAUAGAUGGCAAUACAAUACACCAAGAACUCUUUGAGUUUGUUUGUACGUAUCUGUGACUCAGCUAAAUAAAUGUGGGGUAUGUUAAAGAAUAAUAUCGAAAGGAUCAGAACAUGUCCAUAAAAAUACAAGACUACAAUAAAACAUUUUUAAAGCAUCAGCCGUGGAGGCAUGUAACAGAAACCCUUGCUUAUUAGCAAGUUGAAAAGACUUCAAGUGAAAAAAGAUAAAUAUUAAAAUUUAUAUCUAUUCUUGGAGGUCAAAUGUAAACAGCGAGAAUUGUAAUCUAAACAUCUAAAGAUCUUAGGAUUACAUAAUGUUCAUGGAGAAGUAGCACAACACUAAAAACUUAUUGGUUAAAGUCCAAUACAAUGUGGUGGACCAUUGCCAUUGUUUAAAGGGAAUUUAAUGACCUUUGGUAGUCAAAUAAUAGUUCAAAGGUUAUAUAAAGUUUAUUGGAGGAAAUACAAACUAUGAACCGAACCCCUGUGCAUUUGCUGUAUAUUAACCAGAAAUAAGGGCUGAGGAAAGUUGGGUUCCAAAAAAUGUGAUGAAAUUUUAGAUUUUCUUACAAAGAAGUUCCACAAAUUCAUGAAGAAUCCAAACAGAGGAAAUCAUCUUUUAGAAAAGAUUACAAAUAUGAAGAAAGUUUAAACCCCUAUAAAAGCUGAACUGGGCAGUGAUGGUGUUGUAAAUUUUCACAAAUAUGGCAGAGAAAAAACAUUUUUCCAAUGAUAGCAAUGCAGAAAAAAGUGAUGAAACACGGAUCAUAUAAUUUCUAGAAAUAUCAAGAAGCUGAGAUGAAUGAGAAAGUGCACAUGGGAAAAAUGUGGUGGAGAAAUAUCAACUGAAGUGGAGAUCUGGUCAUCAUCUGAUGAGGACUCUGAUAAACAAGCCAAAUUCUUCCUUAGGUCGCUAAUCCGAUAUAAACAAACUCAUCAAAGGAUCAAUUAUUUGAAUUUUCCAAUUUUAAUAUUUCUAUUAAUGAACUUAAAAACCAUCCUGCAAAUGUUGCCUCUAAACAUGUCGAUCAAAUUCAAAAGAAAUGUAGUUAAAUGAGUUAAGGCAAAGACUAAGGUGGUGUUUGUUUGUUGGCAAAAAGUCUUUUUGACCACUUAUGGCAAAAAAAAAAAAAAAAAAUUCAGGAAAAGACUUUGUUUUUCAGAAGAAAAAAAGGUCUUUUUACCAACAAACAAACAAAGAGAUCUUUUUGACCUCUUUUUCCAGAAAACAAAAACACUAAUUUCUUAUUUUGGAAGACGUUUUCUAAGUUAUAAUCAUAAGGUGAUACUUUUUUUCAUCACCACCACUGCUGCCGCCACGUAUUUGACAUAAAAACAAACAUAAAUAAAUAAAACCAAAAGACCUUGAUAACAACUAAAAACCCUGAAUUUAGUGCCCUAAAUGGAGGAAAUAGGGAUCCAUAAGUCCUGACUCUAAUAUUAAAUAGGUAAAGAAAAUCAGACAAAUUCCCAUCAUAUCAGUCCAAACACAUUUUGAUAUUGCCAUUUCCAAGCAUUGAUUGCAAGACUAUGACUCCUUUUAUCUUGUUACAUCCUAAACAAAUCAAAGAUAUAGUAUAUAACAUACUUGGAUGUGUAUGCCCUUUAUUCAUGUGAUGAGAGAAAGGUUUGGGUGUCAAAAAGUAUACCUCGCAUGCACGACCAAGUAUGCCAGCCUUCCCUGGGGAUAAAGCUCUGAACCAA
RNAcentral lists this long non-coding RNA (2024 nucleotides) under Lactuca sativa (garden lettuce). Its description in RNAcentral is "long non-coding RNA (LSAT_LNC000512)". Lineage: Eukaryota; Viridiplantae; Streptophyta; Magnoliopsida; Asterales; Asteraceae. The record is from RNAcentral.